UACGGGGGGGGGCAAGCGUUGUUCGGAAUUACUGGGCGUAAAGGGCUCGUAGGCGGCCAACUAAGUCAGACGUGAAAUCCCUCGGCUUAACCGGGGAACUGCGUCUGAUACUGGAUGGCUUGAGUUUGGGAGAGGGAUGCGGAAUUCCAGGUGUAGCGGUGAAAUGCGUAGAUAUCUGGAGGAACACCGGUGGCGAAGGCGGCAUCCUGGACCAACACUGACGCUGAGGAGCGAAAGCCAGGGGAGCAAAACGGGG
This 256-nucleotide ribosomal RNA is filed under the name uncultured bacterium. RNAcentral describes it as "partial 16S ribosomal RNA". It matches the Rfam family "Bacterial small subunit ribosomal RNA", at positions 524 to 778 of the family's 1533-position model. The record is from RNAcentral.